This 503-nucleotide ribosomal RNA is filed under the name uncultured bacterium. RNAcentral's name for it is "bacterial SSU rRNA". It matches the Rfam family "Bacterial small subunit ribosomal RNA", at positions 899 to 1397 of the family's 1533-position model. The record is from RNAcentral.
ACUCAAAGGAAUUGACGGGGGCCCGCACAAGCGGUGGAGCAUGUGGUUUAAUUCGACGCAACGCGAAGAACCUUACCAGGGUUUGACAUCCCCUGACAGCUGUUGAAAGACAGUUUUCUAGCUUUGGUUAGACAGGGAGACAGGUGGUGCAUGGUUGUCGUCAGCUCGUGUCGUGAGAUGUUGGGUUAAGUCCCGCAACGAGCGCAACCCCUACGUUUAGUUGCUAACGCGUGAAGGCGAGCACUCUAGAGGAACUGCCGUUGACAAAACGGAGGAAGGUGGGGAUGACGUCAAAUCAUCAUGCCCCUUAUGUCCUGGGCUACACACGUGCUACAAUGGCCGGUACAAAGGGAAGCGAUGCUGUGAAGCGGAGCGAAUCCCAAAAAGCCGGUCUCAGUUCGGAUUGCAGGCUGCAAUUCGCCUGCAUGAAGUCGGAAUCGCUAGUAAUCGCAGGUCAGCAUACUGCGGUGAAUACGUUCCCGGGCCUUGUACACACCGCCCGU